RNAcentral lists this ribosomal RNA (664 nucleotides) under uncultured bacterium. Its description in RNAcentral is "bacterial SSU rRNA". It matches the Rfam family "Bacterial small subunit ribosomal RNA", at positions 8 to 719 of the family's 1533-position model. The record is from RNAcentral.
AGGGUUUGAUCAUGGCUCAGAACGAACGCUGGCGGCAGGCCUAACACAUGCAAGUCGAGCGAAGCCUUCGGGCUUAGCGGCGGACGGGUGAGUAACGCGUGGGAACGUGCCCUUCACUACGGAAUAGUCCCGGGAAACUGGGUUUAAUACCGUAUACGCCCUUCGGGGGAAAGAAUUUCGGUGAAGGAUCGGCCCGCGUUAGAUUAGGUAGUUGGUGGGGUAAUGGCCUACCAAGCCUACGAUCUAUAGCUGGUUUGAGAGGAUGAUCAGCCACACUGGGACUGAGACACGGCCCAGACUCCUACGGGAGGCAGCAGUGGGGAAUCUUAGACAAUGGGGGCAACCCUGAUCUAGCCAUGCCGCGUGAGUGAUGAAGGCCUUAGGGUCGUAAAGCUCUUUCGCUGGGGAAGAUAAUGACGGUACCCAGUAAAGAAACCCCGGCUAACUCCGUGCCAGCAGCCGCGGUAAUACGGAGGGGGUUAGCGUUGUUCGGAAUUACUGGGCGUAAAGCGCGCGUAGGCGGACUGGAAAGUUGGGGGUGAAAUCCCGGGGCUCAACCUCGGAACUGCCUCCAAAACUAUCAGUCUAGAGUUCGAGAGAGGUGAGUGGAACUCCGAGUGUAGAGGUGAAAUUCGUAGAUAUUCGGAAGAACACCAGUGGCGAA